UGGGGAAUAUUGGACAAUGGGCGCAAGCCUGAUCCAGCCAUGCCGCGUGGAUGAAGAAGGCCCUAGGGUUGUAAAGUCCUUUCGACGGAGACGAUAAUGACGGUAUCCGUAGAAGAAGCCCCGGCUAAUUUCGUGCCAGCAGCCGCGGUAAUACGAAAGGGGCUAGCGUUGUUCGGAAUUACUGGGCGUAAAGCGCACGUAGGCGGUCGUGUAAGAUGGGGGUGAAAUCCCGGAGCUCAACUCCGGAACUGCCUUCAUGACUGCAUGGCUAGAGGAUGCGAGAGGUUGGCGGAAUUCCGAGUGUAGAGGUGAAAUUCGUAGAUAUUCGGAAGAACACCAGUGGCGAAGGCGGCCAACUGGCGCAUUUCUGACGCUGAGGUGCGAAAGCGUGGGGAGCAAACAGGAUUAGAUACCCCUGUAGUCCCUGAGCGGGCUGGCAAGGCGCAU
This 447-nucleotide ribosomal RNA is filed under the name uncultured bacterium. Its description in RNAcentral is "bacterial SSU rRNA". It matches the Rfam family "Bacterial small subunit ribosomal RNA", at positions 355 to 825 of the family's 1533-position model. The record is from RNAcentral.